UACAGAGGGUGCGAGCGUUAAUCGGAAUUACUGGGCGUAAAGCGCGCGUAGGUGGCUAUGCAAGUCGGAUGUGAAAUCCCCGGGCUCAACCUGGGAACUGCAUUCGAGACUGCAUUGCUCGAGUAUGGGAGAGGGAAGUGGAAUUUCCGGUGUAGCGGUGAAAUGCGUAGAUAUCGGAAGGAACAUCAGUGGCGAAAGCGACUGCCUGGACCAGCACUGACACUGAGGCACGAAAGCGUGGGGAGCAAACAGG
This 253-nucleotide ribosomal RNA is filed under the name uncultured bacterium. RNAcentral's name for it is "partial 16S ribosomal RNA". It matches the Rfam family "Bacterial small subunit ribosomal RNA", at positions 524 to 776 of the family's 1533-position model. The record is from RNAcentral.